GAUGAACGCUGGCGGCAUACCUAAUACAUGCAAGUCGAGCGAACAGACGAGGAGCUUGCUCCUCUGACGUUAGCGGCGGACGGGUGAGUAACACGUGGAUACCCUACCUAUAAGACUGGGAUAACUUCGGGAAUCCGGAGCUAAUACCGGAUAAUAUAUUGAACCGCAUGGUUCAAUAGUGAAAGACGGUUUUGCUGUCUCUUAUAGAUGGAUCUGAGCCGCAUUAGCUGGUUGCUACGGUAAAGGCUUACCAAGGCGAGGAUGCGUAGCCGACCUGAGAGGCGGAUCGGCCACACUAGAGCGGGGACGCGGUCCAGGGUCCUACGGGAGGCAGCAGUAUGGAACCUUCGGCAGUGGGCGAAAGCCUGACGGAACGAGGCGGCGUGAGUGAUGAAGGUCUUCGGAGCGUAAAACUCGGUUAUUAGGUAAGAACAAAUGUGUAAUUAACUAUGCACGUCGUGACGGUACCUAGUCAAAAAGCCACGGCUAACUACGUG
RNAcentral lists this ribosomal RNA (497 nucleotides) under uncultured bacterium. Its description in RNAcentral is "partial 16S ribosomal RNA". It matches the Rfam family "Bacterial small subunit ribosomal RNA", at positions 28 to 507 of the family's 1533-position model. The record is from RNAcentral.